UAGGGAAUCUUCCGCAAUGGACGCAAGCCUGACGGAGCAACGCCGCGUGAGUGAAGAAGGAUUUCGGUUCGUAAAACUCUGUUGUUAGAGAAGAACAGCGCAUAGAGUAACUGUUAUGCGUGUGACGGUAUCUAACCAGAAAGCCACGGCUAACUACGUGCCAGCAGCCGCGGUAAUACGUAGGUGGCAAGCGUUGUCCGGAUUUAUUGGGCGUAAAGCGAGCGCAGGCGGUCAAUUAAGUCUGAUGUGAAAGCCCCCGGCUCAACCGGGGAGGGUCAUUGGAAACUGGUUGACUGGGGUGCAGAAAGGGGGGGUGGAAUUCCAUGGGUAGCGGUGAAAGGCGUAGAUAUAUGGGGGAACACCAGUGGGGAAGGCGACUCUCUGGUCUGUAACUGACGCUGGGGGUCGAAAGCGUGGGUAGCAAACAGG
This 429-nucleotide ribosomal RNA is filed under the name Bacteroidota bacterium. Its description in RNAcentral is "Bacteroidetes bacterium partial 16S ribosomal RNA". It matches the Rfam family "Bacterial small subunit ribosomal RNA", at positions 355 to 776 of the family's 1533-position model. Lineage: Bacteria; Pseudomonadati; Bacteroidota. The record is from RNAcentral.